GGUAGGGUUCUUCGGAACUUGAGACCGGCGCACGGGUGCGUAACGCGUAUGCAAUCUACCUUUUACAGAGGGAUAGCCCAGAGAAAUUUGGAUUAAUACCUCAUAGCAUAUAAACCUGGCAUCAGGAUUAUAUUAAAGUCACAACGGUAAAAGAUGAGCAUGCGUCCCAUUAGCUAGUUGGUAAGGUAACGGCUUACCAAGGCUACGAUGGGUAGGGGUCCUGAGAGGGAGAUCCCCCACACUGGUACUGAGACACGGACCAAACUCCUACGGGAGGCAGCAGUGAGGAAUAUUGGACAAUGGGCGCAAGCCUGAUCCAGCCAUGCCGCGUGCAGGAUGACGGCCCUAUGGAUUGUAAACUGCUUUUAUACAGGAAGAAACAUCCCUACGUGUAGGGACUUGACGGUACUGUAAGAAUAAGGAUCGGCUAACUCCGUGCCAGCAGCCGCGGUAAUACGGAGGAUCCAAGCGUUAUCCGGAAUCAUUGGGUUUAAAGGGUCCGUACGCGGUUUAGUAAGUCAGAGGUGAAAGCCCAUCGCUCAACGGUGGAACGGCCAUUGAUACUGCUGAACUUGAAUUAUUACGAAGUAACUAGAAUAUGUAGCUGUAGCGGUGAAAUGCUUACAGAUUACAUGGAAUACCAAUUGCGAAGGCAGGUUACUACUAAUUGAUUGACGCUGAUGGACGAAAGCGUGCGUAGCGAACAGGAUUAGAUACCCUGGUAGUCCACGCCGUAAUCGAUGGAUACUAGCUGUUGGAAGCAAUCUCAGUGGAUAAGCGAAAGUGAUAAGUAUCCCACCUGGGGAGUACGUUCGCAAGAAUGAAACUCAAAGGAAUUGACGGGGGCCCGCACAAGCGGUGGAGCAUGUGGUUUAAUUCGAUGAUACGCGAGGAACCUUACCAAGGCUUAAAUGUAGAUUGACCGCUUUGGAAACAGAUCUUUCGCAAGACAAUUUACAAGGUGCUGCAUGGUUGUCGUCAGCUCGUGCCGUGAGGUGUCAGGUUAAGUCCUAUAACGGAGCGCAACCCCUGUUGUUAGUUGCCAGCGAGUCAUGUCGGGAACUCUAACAAGACUGCCAGUGCAAACUGUGAGGAAGGUGGGGAUGACGUCAAAUCAUCACGGCCCUUACGCCUUGGGC
Molecule: ribosomal RNA, 1139 nt
Filed under: Flavobacterium sp.
Lineage: Bacteria; Pseudomonadati; Bacteroidota; Flavobacteriia; Flavobacteriales; Flavobacteriaceae
Description: bacterial SSU rRNA
Rfam family: Bacterial small subunit ribosomal RNA
Source: RNAcentral